RNAcentral lists this unclassified non-coding RNA (253 nucleotides) under Hevea brasiliensis (rubber tree). Lineage: Eukaryota; Viridiplantae; Streptophyta; Magnoliopsida; Malpighiales; Euphorbiaceae. The record is from RNAcentral.
UGCUUCGGCCAUCCUGCAAGAAUCAAGGGCAAAACAACAAAAGUAACCGAAAAGUUUCUUCAACAUGUCAAAAUCUAAUUUUAUAUUGCCAUAUGGAAAAAUAAUGAAGAUACAUUCUCCAAUAAUUACCCCUAGAGAAAGUGCAAAGUUUAGAAUCGCCACCAAAAAUUGACUUAAACUCAAAAGUUUAAUGCACAACAAUUGUACAGAGAACAUCAUUUAGCACAUACCCGGUCUUGUUAAGGACAUCCAU